This is a long non-coding RNA of Propithecus coquereli (Coquerel's sifaka), 2353 nucleotides long. RefSeq lists it as uncharacterized. The record is from RefSeq and is a predicted model, not a curated record. Lineage: Eukaryota; Metazoa; Chordata; Mammalia; Primates; Indriidae. The transcript has 3 exons.
AUGCAGGGAACCCUGGAAGACUUUAAGGGAAGAGCUGUGCUCUUUGCCGACCAGACUGGAGCACUGGUAGUUGGAAGAGUUAUUGACUUUUUGUUUGCCUUAUCUGGACCUAGUUUUUUAUGCUUUGUACCUUGAAAACAAAAAAUUUCAGUCACUAGAUUGUGGUUUCUGUGUCAGUGUCUACUAAAAUUGGCACACGUAAAAAUUAAAGAAAAUGGUUACAUAAUUCAGUGGAAGUUCUUGGUCAUUAGAUGGUAGGCAUCUACUGUGUGUAGGACACAAGGCCAAUAAUAAUAACACACAACAAUGUUGACCUGUUAAGUAUUCUCUGAAACAUGGCCAAAAUGCAUUUUAUUAUGAGCUUAUAUUAUUUUUUCUGUUGUAAAUAUCAGUGCUUUACAGUGUGCUUUAGUGCGUAUUUCUUAGAAAUUCAAGCAGUGAGAAAUAAGACCCCUCUGAGUUUAGUAACUCUGUUUCUAAACUGAUAACAGAAUGUUACUUGGUGAAAGUCUGGAAUAGGUGGUGCACAUGAGCAGUGCUUCGUGAAUGCAUUUCUUAGUUUUAUAAUGCACCAUGUUUCUCAAAGUUUGUUUUUAAUAAAACGUUUUUUUAAUAUGUCCUAUGUUUAUUACUUUUUCUUCCUCAACUGAGUUAUGUACUGCACUGUAAGUUGAAGAUUAGAGCCAUCCAUUAUUUAUCUUCUGUGGCAAUGCAUUUAUAUGGUUAGUUGUGUGGGGAAUUUUUUUGCAGAAGAUGCAAAGUGAUUGGAUUUUUGACUUCCUAUUGCAGAGACCUUUUUUUAAUAUUAAUUUCCUGAACAUUUUUCCAAUUCCCAUGCAGACUGUUCCUGUUUACAUAUCUUCUCUGUUGCAUUAGUACUUUGAUUCUAGUGAGAAGACAGUUUACUUAAAACUUGAGAGUGCUGUGCAGCAUAGCCUAUUGUUUUUGCUUCUCAAAUCUGUAUAGUACACUGGUUUGUAAUCCUCAUCUUUGUUGAAAUCUGAGUUUCUUUGCCAUUUCUCUUCCUCUUCAAUGAAAUAUGUUGUAUUUAUAUAUUCUUAAGAAAAAAGAGCAAGGAAGGGUAUCUUCGUUAUCCUCAUUUUCUUUGAGUUGGAAACAAAAAAAAAUGAAGGACUCCAACUAGAAGAUAGACAUUUACAUUUAAAUAGACUAGUGGGAAAAGUCUGAGUUUCCAAGUAUUAGUUUUUGUUUUUAGAAUCAGUUAAGAGACUGCUCCUUGUACUAGGAGAUACUAGUAUAUGUUUGUAAUGUUACCUUAAAAUUAUCUUUAUUUUAUAAGGCCUGUAAAUAUUGGUUAAACUCUUUUAUAAGUCGGGCUUCUAUCAUGAUGGUUGCACUGCCAUCUGCCAUGCUGAUAUAUUAUAAAUGGCAUCCCCAUCUACUUACUGUAAUGCUUAAAAUUUUAUAUAAAAUGCUUUAUUUAGAAAACUUACAUUGGUGUCAGCCUUGCCAUGUACCAAUUUCACUUGAAAUUUGACACUGACUAAGGUGAUUUAGGGUGGAGAAAGAGGUACUGGAAAGCAAACAGAUAAGGGUAUCUUAUUUGCAGCAGUAUGCUUUAUGUGGGAGGAAAAGUUACUAUUCAAAGGAAGGCAGCUUAAGUGGAUAAUGUUUUGUAUAUCAUUGAGAAUUUUCUUUGACAUUUUUAAAAAUUGUGUAAUUGUUAAAUGCCCAGUUUUGCUCUGUGUUUGCCUGAAGUUUUAGUAUUUGUUUUCUAGGUGGACUUCAAAAAACCAAACCAGUACUUGGGGAGGUUAGAUGUGUGUGUUUUCAAGCUUGGAGUGUAUGAGUGGUUUUGCUUGCUUUUUGGUUGUUUUCCUCCAGAGGUUUUGAACUUUAAUCAAUAAUUGUGUGUGUUAUUAAAAAAAAGAAGUGAUUUUGUUUUUUUUCUCAAGUAAAAUUGUGAACACAUUUGCUUUUCAAUGGCAGGGCAUGAGUUAUGGAGACUGAAGAGUAUUGUAGAGUGUACUAUGUGCCUUCUUAAUGUGUUUCUGGACACAAAUUUUGUUUUUUUCCAUCAACUUGAAAACUCAAAAGGGACAUUUGGUUAGGUUAUAUACCGUAUAUCAAUCUAUGCAUAAAUGGCAGCUUGUUUUCUUGAGCCACUGUCUAAAUUUUUUUGUUUUUAUAGAAAUUUUUUAUACUGAUUGGUUCAUAGAUGGUCAGUUUUGUACAGAUUGAACAAUACAGCACUUUGCCAAAAAUAAGUGUAGCAUUGCUUAAACAUUGUGUGUUAACACCCAUUCUUUGUAAUUGGGUUCAGUGGUGCCUUUUGCACUACCUGGAGUUACGGUUUUUAAUCUGUCAGUAAAUAAAAUGUCCUUUAACUUCA